Molecule: RNA transcript, 7476 nt
Organism: Cercocebus atys (sooty mangabey)
Lineage: Eukaryota; Metazoa; Chordata; Mammalia; Primates; Cercopithecidae
Gene: ERCC6L2
Gene name: excision repair cross-complementation group 6-like 2
Exons: 21
Source: RefSeq, a predicted model, not a curated record
CAGUAUUUUUACGUUUAUUCCCAGCAAAUGUUGUUGGCUUUGUAUUUAAAGUAUUUAUGAUUCACUACAAAGUGCAGGAUCCAAGAAAACGCGCUAGUUUCACUUGGCACCUGUGGGUGUCCCGGGGAGCUCUCCAAGGAGGGACUGGCUCCUGGAAGUUCCUGGGGUGCGGCACCACCACGGACGAACCAAGCUCCACCGAGAAGCCGAGAGCCGCGACCGCCGGGACGCCCUCUGCCAGGCCUCCACCGCCUCAGGGGCCCUUCACAGCCACUGCCUUCCCAAGCCCACCAGUUAUGACCAGCGUCGCUCAGCGCCCGGCCCACCCAGCGACCUCAAACCUCGCGACACUCGCAACUCCCGCGGCCCUUCCUGCUGCAGGCCUCCUGGGGCGAGACAUCGGGAAGAUGGCUCCGCCCACGGAAAGGAAGAUUGCGUUCUCGCGAUAUCCCAGUGACAAUUCGGCAGCCCGUUCUCGCGGGAUUUUCCAAGGCCGGGAUGGAAGUUGCGGGGUUAGGAGACUGAGGUCAGAUCCUGAGGAGGAGAUUUGGGGGUCGCAAUGCUGGCCUCGUGUUCUCCACCGGCGGCGGCGGAGCCCGAAAGAACUAGGUGAACACCGCCUUGCCAGCCUCACACAGCGUCCCGUGGCUCUGCCGCCGCUCCGGACGUCGCCCUCCCGUUCUCCUCGGGUCCCCUUAGUCGCUGCCUUAGCUGGGAUCCCCCUCCUCCUUCCCGCGGCUUCGGGUUGCCGGAGAGCGAUGCUCGGAGGGCGACCGGAAGUGGCGUUGGCCGCCAUUGGCCCACUGGCCAGCCACCUCGCUGUCCUCCGCCUUCCGGGUGUUACGUGCAGCCGGGCUCGGCCCCUCCCCCUGGCCGGAUGGAUCCCUCGGCGCCACAGCCCUGCGCGGAAACCGCGGGCAAAGACAUAUGGCAUCCAGGAGAAAGAUGUCUUGCCCCUUCUCCAGAUAAUGGAAAACUUCGUGAAGCAAGCAUAAAAUCUGUCACAGUGGAUGAAAAUGGCAAGUCAUUUGCAGUUGUCUUAUAUUCAGAUUUUCAAGAAAGGAAAAUACCUCUUAAACAGCUUCAAGAAGUAAAAUUUGUUAAAGAUUGCCCUAGGAAUCUUAUAUUUGAUGAUGAAGAUUUGGAAAAACCUUAUUUCCCAAACCGAAAAUUUCCAUCAUCUUCUGUUGCUUUUAAAUUAUCUGACGAUGGAGACUCUAUUCCUUAUACCGUCAAUAGGUAUUUGAGAGACUACCAAAGAGAAGGAGCCCAGUUUCUUUAUGGACAUUACAUCCAUGGAAGAGGGUGCAUUCUUGGUGAUGACAUGGGACUUGGAAAAACAGUACAGGUUAUUUCAUUUCUGGCUGCAGUUUUGCAUAAAAAGGGAACUCGUGAGGAUAUUGAAAAUAACAUGCCAGAGUUUUUACUAAGAAGCAUGAAAAAGGAGCCCCUUUCUUCUACAGCAAAAAAGAUGUUCUUAAUAGUUGCUCCUCUUUCUGUCCUCUACAACUGGAAGGAUGAAUUGGACACCUGGGGAUAUUUCAGAGUCACUAUUUUACAUGGAAACAGAAAAGAUAAUGAACUAAUUCGUGUAAAGCAGAGGAAAUGUGAAAUUGCUCUAACAACUUAUGAAACACUGCGCUUAUGCCUGGAUGAACUUAACAGUUUGGAAUGGUCAGCUGUCAUUGUGGAUGAAGCUCAUAGAAUCAAGAAUCCAAAAGCUAGAAUAACAGAAGUUAUGAAAGCUUUGAAAUGUAAUGUCCGCAUUGGUCUCACUGGAACCAUUCUUCAGAACAACAUGAAGGAACUGUGGUGUGUUAUGGACUGGGCUGUGCCAGGCCUUUUAGGGACUGGGACCUGCUUCAAGAAGCAGUUUUCUGACCCAGUGGAACAUGGUCAGAGACACACGGCCACAAAGAGAGAACUGGCCACUGGCCGAAAGGCCAUGCAGAGACUUGCCAGAAGGAUGUCCGGCUGGUUUCUCAGGCGCACCAAGGCUCUUAUCAAGGAUCAGUUGCCUAAGAAGGAAGACCGGAUGGUGUAUUGUUCUUUGACAGAUUUCCAGAAAGCUGUCUAUCAAACAGUGUUAGAAACAGAGGAUGUGACUUUGAUACUUCAGUCUUCUGAGCCUUGUACCUGUAGGAGUGGCCGAAAAAGGAGAAAUUGUUGUUAUAAGACCAAUUCUCAUGGUGAAACAGUGAAAACCUUGUAUCUCAGUUACCUUACAGUCCUUCAGAAGGUAGCUAACCAUGUCGCGCUACUGCAAGCUGCUAGUACUUCCAAACAACAGGAAACACUUAUCAAAAGGAUAUGUGAUCAGGUAUUUUCCAGAUUCCCAGAUUUUGUGCAGAAAAGCAAAGAUGCAGCCUUUGAAACACUUUCUGACCCUAAAUACAGUGGAAAAAUGAAGGUCCUUCAGCAGCUUUUAAAUCAUUGCAGGAAAAACAGAGAUAAAGUUCUUCUCUUUUCUUUUUCCACCAAGUUGCUUGAUGUGCUACAGCAGUACUGUAUGGCGUCUGGGCUUGAUUACCGACGACUUGAUGGAAGUACAAAAUCAGAGGAAAGACUCAAGAUUGUAAAAGAGUUCAACAGUACACAAGAUGUUAACAUUUGCCUUGUCUCUACAAUGGCUGGUGGACUAGGCCUCAAUUUUGUCGGUGCCAAUGUUGUUGUAUUAUUUGAUCCUACUUGGAAUCCAGCCAAUGAUCUUCAAGCCAUUGACAGGUUACAGAAUGGAAGUGAGAAUGCAGUACCUUACCCCUGGCGGUGCUGCGUCGCAGGAGCCACCAUUUCCUGCUGGAGAUGUAAGAUUUGCACGAUCCAGAGAUGUCCUCCAGUAAAAGUCCUUUGUGAGGAGGGAGCAUACAGGAUUGGACAGUGUAGAGAUGUCAAAGUGCUUAGGCUGAUAUCCUUGGGAACUGUGGAGGAAAUCAUGUAUUUACGACAGGUAUACAAGCAGCAACUUCACUGCGUGGUGGUUGGGAGUGAAAAUGCCAAACGAUAUUUUGAAGCAGUUCAAGGAUCUAAAGAGCAUCAAGGAGAGCUUUUUGGGAUCCAUAACCUCUUCAAACUGAGGUCCCAAGGGUCUUGUCUUACAAGGGACAUUCUGGAGAGAGAAGGCCAGGUGGAAGCAGGGAUCAUGACAGCCACAACAUGGUUGAAAGAGGGACCUCUAGCACACAAACUGGAAAUGCCUGGAGAGCCUGACUGUCAGGAAUGCAGAGGUCCAGAACAAGCUGCAGAGCCACUGGCAAAGGAAGUGUGUGAUCUCUGCAGCGACUUCAGUGAUGAAGAGCCCGUGGGAGCCGCAGGAGUAAAGACUGCCAAAAACAGAGCACCCGAUUCAAAUAAAGCUUCCAGCUCUCCAGGACAGCUUACCUUACUCCAGUGUGGUUUCUCAAAAUUGUUUGAAACAAAAUGUAAAGCAGUUGAGGACAGUGAUGGAAAUACCGCCUCUGAUGAUGAAAGUUCUGAUGAGCAGCCCACAUGCCUUUCAACAGAAGCCAAAGAUGCUGGUUGUGAGAAAAAUCAGGACUCUCUUUGUACUUCAAAAUAUCAGAAAUUAGAUAACAUCCUAAAUCCAAAAGAAAAGCAUAUUUUUUAUAAAAGUGAGAAGACUUUAGAACAGACUAUUUCUUCUAAGUCUGAUGAGAACAAAUUUAAAAAUACAGAUAAACAUUGCAUUUUACAGAAUGACACAGAAUCAGAAGACAGUGAUGUCAUCUGUCCUACACAGUAUACAACUGAGAGAUUCCCCGACAAUAGUACAAGGUUUAAGCCACCCUUGGAGGUUUCUGAGGAUUCUGAAACAGAGCACUCUGUAAAAACAAGAAAUAAUGAUAAUGGUCGAAAGACUGAUGACAAAAGAAAUGGAAUAAUUUCAGAAAAGUUAAGUCCUGAGAACACAACCCUGAAAUCUGUUGUGAAAAGAAAAGGCACCAGCGAUAUCAGUGAUGAAUCUGAUGACAUUGAAAUUUCUUCCAAGUCAAGAGUAAGGAAGAGUUCAUUGAGGUUUAAGAGAAUAAAGGAAACCAAAAAAGAACUUCGCAAUUCUCCCAAAACAGUGAACAAAACAAACCAAGUAUAUGCAACAAAUGAGGAUCAUAACUCUCAGUUUAUUGAUGAUUAUUCAUCCUCAGAUGAGAGUUUAUCCGUCAGCCACUUCAGUUUCUCUAAACAGAGCCAUAGAACGAGAACUGUAAAAGACAGAACCAGUUUUUCUUCAAAAUUGCCUAGCCAUAAUAAGAAAAAUAGCACUUUCAUGCCAAGAAAACCAAUGAAAUGUUCAAAUGAGAAAGCUGUCAAUCAAGAGCUGUCAUAUGAAUCAAUGGAUAAAUUUUUAGAUGGCGUUCAGGAAGUGGCUUAUAUUCACUCAAAUCAGAAUGUGAUUGGAUCGAGCAAAGCUGAAAAUCACAUGAGCCGAUGGGCAGCACAUGAUGUAUUUGAGUUGAAGCAGUUUUCCCAGCUGCCUGCUAACAUAGCUGUUUGCAGUUCUAAGACAUAUAAAGAAAAGGUGAAUGCAAAUACAUUGCCACACACAAAGAAAGGCCAGCAACCGAGCGAAGGCAGCGUUUCACUUCCUCUUUACAUUUCACACCCUGUGAGCCAAAAGAAGAAAAAAGUCUACCGUACAAACCAGACCACCUUCAUAAUUGGAGAAACACCAAAAGGAAUCCGCAGACCGACAUCAAACACUUCCGGAGCUGGCCGGCCCUGAGGUAGCCUGGCCUGGCAGUGCCCGUCCCUGUGCGUGGAGAGGAAGAGCAGCCGGAGCUGCUAUUGUCACCUGCACGCAUUGACCGUGUGAUCAACACAGCAGCCCCAGGAGGUACCUUUGAUCAUAAACCUCCUUCUCAAACUCGUUCUGGAGGAAGCCAGCAGCCAUGUCAUAAGGAAGCUCAAGCAGCCAUAUGGAGAGCCCACAUGGGAAGGGACAGAGACCUCCUGCCCACAGUCGUGGAGAUGAACCACCUUGGAGGCAGUUCCCCCAGCCCCAACACACAGAUGAUCAGUCCUGCCUGACAUCUUCACUGCAACCUCACGAGAGACCCCAAGCCACAACUUCCCAGCGGAGCCCACAGAUGUGGUGUGAGAUGAUGUGCUUGUCGGCUUCAGCUGUUAGGGCUUUGGGGUGAUUCAUUAGCGGCACUGGAUAACUCCUGCACUGCCUAAGUGUGAGGGCAAAGAAGGUGGAGCAUGGGGCGGGUCCCAAUGAAGGUUGGGCAGGUGAGCCCUGGCAGAGGUGCAUGGGGCCGUGUGGUGGAGCGAUUAGUGGCUUGAGAAGAAAAGAUUGAAGUGGGGCCAGAGGAAACGGAGGAAUCACAGCACCAGAGGUCCCCAUGGAAGUAAAGAUGUGGACUGAGGCGUAGAGAAGAGAGUGGAGUUUCCUGUUUGAGAGAACGUUUCUGGGUGGAUGCAGCUCAAGGUGUGGCAGAGUUUGGGGAGGGAGGGGGACAGUAGAGUCAUGACCCCUGGACAGUGAAGCCAGCCAGGGCAGCCAGGGCAGCAGUGGGACUUGGCUUGGGGAGAAAGACCCACCUUCCAGUUCCUAAGGCCUCAACCUACAGGGGAGUGGUGGGGACUAGAGAUUACAGGUGGUAAAGGGGGCCUCUCGGGGUGGCUUGACCCUGCAGGGAGGUUUUCCCAAAAAGAGGAGGCAUAGCUGCCUGUAAACACCCAAGAGAAGACUCCAAAGGCCAGCUCCACCCCUUCUGGCUGCAGACGACAGGGAGUGAGAAGAGUCUCUGUCCCCAGGGCUGCACAGAGGAUGGUGUGGCCAAGAGAGAGCAGGCCACAGUGGACAGGCAAGCAGCAGGACUGGUGCUGAGUCACUCCACAGUGUCGAAUCUACUAUCUGCAGGACGCCAGGGACACCAGAAAAAGAUGUGGUCCAGGCUGGGCAUGGUGGCUCACACCUGUAAUCCCAGCACUUUGGGAGGCCGAGGCAGGAGGAUCAUCUGAGGCCAGGAGUUCAAGACCCGCCUGGGCAAUAUAGCAAGACCCAUCUCUAAUUAAAAAAUAAAAAAUAAAAAAAAGACCUUAUCCAGAGGAGAAACAGGCAGCAAAGGCAGUCAAGCCCUCAGAGAAACUGGGUCUCCAAGAAACACAGUCCUGCCCUCCCUCAGCCCCCCAACAAUAGCUCUCUAUUCCCUGGGGGCCUCCUAGCUGCAAUGGCCACCAGCCUCUGCGCUCUUCCUGCUCGUGUCCUCAUGCCCUUUUUCUGGGCAUCACGUCCUCCCUGGGCACGACUCUUCCAGUGGAAGUGUCUGCUGCUGUGGUCAUGAGACAUGACCUGGAGUCACUGCCCUCUCUGGGCCUGGCUUGUCGGCUAGAUCCUCUCUGCCCUUGGGUGAGCUUUCCCGGGAGGCCUUCGGUUCCUCGUGAACCAAUUCUCAUGAAGGCCUGGCCUCCGAUUCCAGGCAAGUCUGAAUCUGAAGUGGUAGAGCUCAGGGCCAGGCGCGGGUGCCCUCGGAGCUCUGUGUAUCUCCCCGGAAAUCCUGGGAUCUGUCCCUAUGUAUUUAACCCCACUAAGGUUCCUCAGUCCAGACCUACCCACAAGGCCAAGGGCUUUCACAAGGACAAUGGUGACACCUGGGUGGUCCCUGCCCCCCAUGGCUCUCGUAUCCGUGUGCGUGGGCCACGGCCACACCUCAUGGGGAGGUGACCGGAGCCACAGCAUCUGCAGAGAAUGAACACUACUGCAUGACAAAGCCAGCGAGAAACGCCUUCUGCAAACCACGCUGGAAGUGAAAGGAGACGCGAGGCGUGCCCUCGGCCAUCAGUUUUACCCCUUUGAUUCUGCAGUUGUUUAAUGUUGAGACAAGUCGACUUGAAGCUGUAUAAUAAAUGAAUUCCAGCUUGAGCCUUGGCAGGGUUUGUUUGGCUUGAGGGAAGUCGUUUAUGCUAAUGGCCCCCUCUGCAGAGCUGGAUUUAUAUUAUACAGAGUCUUGUCCAUCAUCUGGAUGCCGCCAUAAACAGGAUCAUCUUUGUCUACCAGGAGCAAGCCCGAUGCCAAUAACUUUAAAUAAACAUGAGCCCCAGGUUUGUAUUUACAUUGUCUGAGAUAACCGCUGGCGAGUUUGUCACAGCGCCGUCGGCCCCUCCCUGGCUAAGGUAGCGUCGGCUUUCCCACUGACCUUGUUUUUAGAGGCCUCGCUCAGGGAAAGGAUCUCACGUGUCGCCGAUGAGCGCUGCGCCCCGGGCUGGGCCGCAUUCUUUUGCACGGUUUUGGCGCUUUGUAGUUCUGUCAAGUUAGCAUGGCUUCCUUCUGUACCGGAUGGAGCAGGACAUGGGUCCGGGGCAGGAGCUCAGACACGGAAAUGACAUCACAGACCUGAGCUCUCGAUUCCCGCGAUGGCAAGGCUGCAGGUGCCAGUGGGCUCCAAGGAUUCUAUUACUAAUAGGGCUGUGACUUAGCUCUAUGGAAGCCAUCAGUGUUGAAUUGCGUUCCAUGUGGAAAAUAAAUAGAAUUUUGCA